This 445-nucleotide ribosomal RNA is filed under the name uncultured bacterium. Its description in RNAcentral is "SSU rRNA". It matches the Rfam family "Bacterial small subunit ribosomal RNA", at positions 26 to 518 of the family's 1533-position model. The record is from RNAcentral.
AGAACGAACGCUGGCGGCAGGCCUAAUACAUGCAAGUCGAACGCACUCUUCGGAGUGAGUGGCAGACGGGUGAGUAACGCGUGGGAACCUUCCCAAUGGUACGGAAUAACUCCGGGAAACCGGUGCUAAUACCGUAUAAGCCCCUCGGGGGAAAGAUUUAUCGCCAUUGGAUGGGCCCGCGUCGGAUUAGCUAGUUGGUAAGGUAAUGGCUUACCAAGGCUACGAUCCGUAGCUGGUCUGAGAGGAUGAUCAGCCACACUGGGACUGAGACACGGCCCAGACUCCUACGGGAGGCAGCAGUGGGGAAUAUUGGACAAUGGGCGCAAGCCUGAUCCAGCCAUGCCGCGUGGAUGAUGAAGGCCUUAGGGUUGUAAAGUCCUUUCGGCGGGAAGAUAAUGACGGUACCCGCAGAAGAAGCCCCGGCUAACUUCGUGCCAGCAGCCGC